Molecule: ribosomal RNA, 433 nt
Filed under: uncultured bacterium
Lineage: Bacteria
Description: partial 16S ribosomal RNA
Rfam family: Bacterial small subunit ribosomal RNA
Source: RNAcentral
AACGAACGCUGGCGGCAUGCCUAACACAUGCAAGUCGAACGAGACCUUCGGGUCUAGUGGCGCACGGGUGCGUAACGCGUGGGAACCUGCCCUUAGGUUCGGAAUAACUCCCCGAAAGGGGUGCUAAUACCGGAUAAUGUCUUCGGACCAAAGAUUUAUCGCCUUUGGAUGGGCCCGCGUUGGAUUAGCUAGUUGGUAGGGUAAAAGCCUACCAAGGCGACGAUCCAUAACUGGUCUGAGAGGAUGAUCAGCCACACUGGGACUGAGACACGGCCCAGACUCCUACGGGAAGCAGCAGUGGGGAACAGUGGACCAUGGGCGAAAGCCUGAUCCAGCAAUGCCGCGUGAGUGAUGAAGGCCUUAGGGUUGUAAAGCUCUUUUACCCGGGAUGAUAAUGACAGUACCGGGAGAAUAAGCCCCGGCUAACUCCGUG